GACGAACCGUGCGAACGUUGUUCGGAUUCACUGGGCUUAAAGGGCGCGCAGGCGGCCAAGUGUGUGAGGCGUGAAAGCCUGGGGCUUAACUCCAGAAUUGCACCUCAAACUACAUGGCUAGAGCAUUGGAGAGGGUAGCAGAAUUCACGGUGUAGCAGUGAAAUGCGUAGAUAUCGUGAGGAAUACCAGAGGCGAAGGCGGCUACCUGGACAAUUGCUGACGCUCAGGCACGAAAGCGUGGGGAGCAAACAGG
Molecule: ribosomal RNA, 253 nt
Filed under: uncultured bacterium
Lineage: Bacteria
Description: partial 16S ribosomal RNA
Rfam family: Bacterial small subunit ribosomal RNA
Source: RNAcentral